Molecule: ribosomal RNA, 511 nt
Filed under: uncultured bacterium
Lineage: Bacteria
Description: partial 16S ribosomal RNA
Rfam family: Bacterial small subunit ribosomal RNA
Source: RNAcentral
GGGCGAACGCUGGCGGCGUGCUUAACACAUGCAAGUCGAACGAAGAGCGAUGGAAGCUUGCUUCUAUCAAUCUUAGUGGCGAACGGGUGAGUAACGCGUAAUCAACCUGCCCUUCAGAGGGGGACAACAGUUGGAAACGACUGCUAAUACCGCAUACGAUCUAAUCUCGGCAUCGAGGAUAGAUGAAAGGUGGCCUCUACAUGUAAGCUAUCACUGAAGGAGGGGAUUGCGUCUGAUUAGCUAGUUGGAGGGGUAACGGCCCACCAAGGCGAUGAUCAGUAGCCGGUCUGAGAGGAUGAACGGCCACAUUGGGACUGAGACACGGCCCAGACUCCUACGGGAGGCAGCAGUGGGGAAUCUUCCGCAAUGGACGAAAGUCUGACGGAGCAACGCCGCGUGAGUGAUGACGGCCUUCGGGUUGUAAAGCUCUGUUAAUCGGGACGAAAGGCCUUCUUGCGAAUAGUGAGAAGGAUUGACGGUACCGGAAGAGAAAGCCACGGCUAACUACGUG